UACAGAGGUCUCGAGCGUUAGUCGGAUUCAUUGGGCUUAAAGCGUACGUAGGCGGAUAUGCAGGCGUCGUGUGAAAGCCCUCGGCUCAACCGAGGAAUUGCACGGCGAACCGCAUGUCUUGAGAUCGGUAGGGGCGGUCGGAACGAUAGGUGGAGUGGUGAAAUGCGUUGAUAUCUAUCGGAACGCCGAAGGUGAAAACAGGCCGCUGGGCCGAUUCUGACGCUGAGGUACGAAAGCGUGGGGAGCAAAC
RNAcentral lists this ribosomal RNA (250 nucleotides) under uncultured bacterium. RNAcentral describes it as "partial 16S ribosomal RNA". It matches the Rfam family "Bacterial small subunit ribosomal RNA", at positions 524 to 773 of the family's 1533-position model. The record is from RNAcentral. RNAcentral also lists the same sequence under 1 other name.